GAUGAAGAACGUAGCGAAAUGCGAUAAGUAAUGUGAAUUGCAGAAUUCAGUGAAUCAUCGAAUCUUUGAACGCACAUUGCGCCCGCUGGUAUUCUGGCGGGCAUGCCUGUCCGAGCGUCAUUUCAACCCUCAAGCCCCCGGGCUUGGUGUUGGGGAUCGGCGAGCCUCCGCGCCCGCCGUCCCCUAAAUCUAGUGGCGGUCUCGCUGUAGCUUCCUCUGCGUAGUAGCACACCUCGCACUGGGAAACAGCGCGGCCACGCCGUUAAACCCCCAACUUCUGAACGUUUGACCUCGGAUCAGGUAGGAAUACCCGCUGAACUUAAGCAUAUCAAUAAGCGGAGGA
This 343-nucleotide unclassified non-coding RNA is filed under the name soil metagenome. RNAcentral's name for it is "partial contains 5.8S ribosomal RNA, internal transcribed spacer 2, and large subunit ribosomal RNA". The stretch from base 1 to 120 matches the Rfam family "5.8S ribosomal RNA", at positions 35 to 154 of the family's 154-position model. The record is from RNAcentral.